This 112-nucleotide ribosomal RNA is filed under the name Pteropus alecto (black flying fox). Lineage: Eukaryota; Metazoa; Chordata; Mammalia; Chiroptera; Pteropodidae. The record is from RNAcentral.
GUCUACGGCCCCCUGAACAAGCCCGACCCUGUCUGAUCUCAGAAGCUAAGCACGGUUGGGCUUGGUUAGUACUUGGAUGGGAGACCACCAGGAAGACCAGGUGCUGUAGGUG